Non-coding RNA from Podarcis lilfordi (Lilford's wall lizard), 1156 nucleotides. Lineage: Eukaryota; Metazoa; Chordata; Lepidosauria; Squamata; Lacertidae. The record is from the annotation of a GenBank genome assembly.
AUUUUCCAUUUUGCUGAUGGUCUUCCUUUUACUGAUAUUUUUACCAUUCUGCUUUGAGGUUCGUUUGUUUCUUGAAUGGUCCAGUGGAGGACAACUUUCAGGAAACAAAUAAACGAAUAAGAUCUCUUCGGCCUUGAAAUUCUCCUCCUGACAACCUUGAUGGGGCUUAAGGCAGUUUUACACUGGAAGUGAGUGAGGCUGCCCCGCAUCUCCCUCUUUCGCCUCUUGUGAACUGAGAGGGGAUUGCAGAGGCCAAAAUGCUCUUAUUUCUGUCUUAUUUCUGUUGGGUGAGCCUUAGCCGGAAGGCAGGACCCCCUGCGCCAGCCCAGCUCCAUUUCUCCUCUCCCGCCUUUUCCCCAAGGGGCUCAGGGCGGCCUCUGCUGCUCUCCGCUUCCACAGCCGCCAUCACAACCACCCUGUGAGGUGGGGCAGCUUGAGAGGCCGCCAGCAGCCCCAGGUCGCUCCCUGGUCAGUACUUUUGGUUUAGAUGGGGGCAUGAGACGCUUAAUGCCAUAGUCACGGGUUCGAGCCCCACGUGAGGUAAAAGAGCGCUGCGUUGCCGGGGGUUGGACUGGAUGACCCUCGGGGUCCCUUCCAAGUCUAGAAUCCCACCACGUUGACGUGCAAGUCGGUUUCAUCUUCUCACUAUUUUUGCCGGGCACCACUGCGACGUGUUAGGCGGUACAGAGAGGUGUGCCAGUAGGUGAGUAAAUAGAAACUGGAAAAUAAAAAUAAAUAAGCGCCCUUCCCUAGAGCCGCCCCAAAGGCACUUUUUCCCCUCACAGAGGAACAACUACAAAUCCCAGAAUCCUUUGCGUCUGGGAAAAGGGAAGAAGCGAAGGGGCAGGACGUCUCGAGAGGUGCCUGUUUCCUCCGGCCAGCCCCCAUUUGUGUGGGUCUUUUGCAGGAGGCGUCCGGCCAUCGCGAUCUCUGGGGUGCAAAGAGGUUUUGCAGGGGAGGCUGAAGGUGGGAGCAGGAAGGAGUCUUUGCUGGCAGAGGCGCCCUUCGGAAGCAGCUCUCCGCGGGUGAGAGGGCACCGUCUGAACCCUGCAACACGUGAAUGCCGGUGAGGGGGCGGGGCAGAAAAGGGCGGCGGGAAAGAUGAGCCAUUUUGGCUUUUCCCAUUGCACGGAUAAGUUUGCACGUUGCAUCGGGG